This 695-nucleotide long non-coding RNA is filed under the name Nicotiana benthamiana. Its description in RNAcentral is "long non-coding RNA (NBEN_LNC028188)". Lineage: Eukaryota; Viridiplantae; Streptophyta; Magnoliopsida; Solanales; Solanaceae. The record is from RNAcentral.
CUGAGACCUCGGCCUUUAGAGAAAAUAGAGAACGGCCGCAUCUUUGGAGUCUUUCUUCCCCAAUUUUUAUGAAGAAAACAUACCUCUUUCAUAAAAACAAACAGCCACUACCUCCAUUAGAGUAAUUUUAGCCACGAUUUCAUCAGAGAAAACAUAACUCAGGAGUUCAAAAAAAAAGCUCUGAAAAAAUAGUAGAAACAGUAGAGUUUAGGUUUAUUUUUAUAUUUUAAAGGAUUUGACAGUCUGAAGGACACGUUUCAAAAUGAAGUCCUCCUGUAUUCCUGAUUUUAAAGCUUCAAUUCGUUAAAAAUCGCUGCUGUUAUUGCUGAUUAUUGCUUGUGCCAAGCUCCGUCCUCAUUCUCUCAGCCUUUUCAUGGAACUGUAAGCAAUAUGUGGUUUCUAGGUAUGUCAGAUUGUAUUUAGUUGUUUACCAAAUUCAUAAAUAUAAAUCUGAUUAGCUCUUGUUGUAUUAAUGUCCAAUUCGUGCAUUCAAUGUGUCUGACCGCUGAAUUUUCUUACAUCUGCUAUGUCUGCCGACAUCGAGCUUCGGCUAUUGCUUUUUUUUUUUUUAAGCUGAAAAGUUGAGUUUUCUUGAAUUGAAGAGUUUCAUAUUAUAUAUUGUAUAUGAUCGUGUAAAUAGCCUACAUAUUUCCUCUCUGUAUGUUUAGUGAAGUGAUAGUAGGUUGAAUGGUGCC